GGUAGUGUAUCUCAGUGGUAGAAUUUUUGCCUAACAUACAAGAACCUGGGAUCCAUCCCCAGCACUGCCA
Molecule: transfer RNA, 70 nt
Filed under: Marmota monax (woodchuck)
Lineage: Eukaryota; Metazoa; Chordata; Mammalia; Rodentia; Sciuridae
Rfam family: tRNA
About the family: Transfer RNA (tRNA) molecules are approximately 80 nucleotides in length. Their secondary structure includes four short double-helical elements and three loops (D, anti-codon, and T loops). Further hydrogen bonds mediate the characteristic L-shaped molecular structure. tRNAs have two regions of fundamental functional importance: the anti-codon, which is responsible for specific mRNA codon recognition, and the 3' end, to which the tRNAs corresponding amino acid is attached (by aminoacyl-tRNA synthetases). tRNAs cope with the degeneracy of the genetic code in two manners: having more than one tRNA (with a specific anti-codon) for a particular amino acid; and 'wobble' base-pairing, i.e. permitting non-standard base-pairing at the 3rd anti-codon position.
Source: Rfam by way of RNAcentral